CCAAUUGCCACGGUCAACCUCUGCAGACCGCACGCAAUUGGUUUUAAAUAUUUGGUUUUUCAAAGUUGAAAAGCGCGCAGGUAAUUAUCCGGCCGUCGCCAUACAAUGCUCAAAGCAAAAGCCUCUUCUGACCUGGUCUCUCGCCCAAUCAUCAUUCUUUCGGCAACCCAACUCAACAAAUUUCAACAAAAAAAAAGCCAACGACAAUCUUUUACAGAAAAUCUCUUAUCCCUGUUAAAAAAAUGCACAUCCACGAAACUCUUACAACAAAUCCACACCCAAAUGCUCAUUAAUGCCAUCCAAAAACCAAACUUCCUUCUCUCCAAAAUCAUUGACCUCAAAAACUUAGCCUACGCUUCCCUUCUCUUCUCCCAAAUCCCGCAACCUAACGAUUACGCGUUCAAUGUCAUGAUCCGUGGCCUUACCACCACUUCGCAAAACUACUUUGCAACUCUUCAUUUCUAUUAUCAAAUGAAGUUUUUGGGCUUAAAACCAAAUAAAUUCACUUACCCAUUUUUGUUUAUUGCGUGUGCUAAUCUUUUAGAGCUGAGCCAUGGGCAGUUAGCUCAUUCUUCGGUGUUUAAACUUGGGUUGGACGUUGAUUCUCAUACUACUCACUCUUUGAUUACAAUGUAUUCCCGUUGCGGCGAACUAGGUAGUGCUCGUAAGGUGUUUGAUGAAAUAACUGAAAGAGAUUUGGUGUCGUGGAACUCGAUGAUUUCGGGAUAUUCGAAAAUGGGGUAUGCGAGCGAGGCGGUUGGGUUGUUUGGGAAGAUGAGAGAUGAAGGAUUUGUACCUGAUGAGAUGACGUUAGUCAGCGUUCUUGGGGCUUGCGGGGACUUGGGGGAUUUAAGUCUAGGGAUGUGGGUGGAGGGGUUUGUUACGAAACAUAAGAUGGAAUUGAAUUCAUUUAUUGGGUCUGCUUUGAUUGGUAUGUAUGGAAAGUGUGGGGAUUUGGUAUCGGCUAGGAGGAUCUUUGAUGGAAUACCGGAGAAGGAUGUGGUCACCUGGAAUGCUAUGAUCACUGGGUAUGCACAAAAUGGAAUGUCCGAUGAAGCAAUCAAGCUGUUUAAUGGCAUGAAGGAUGCAGGAGUUAAACCAGACAAAAUUACAUUGGUUGGAGUUCUGUCAGCAUGUGCCUCAAUUGGGGCCCUAGACUUGGGGAAAUGGAUUGAUACAUAUGCAUCACAAAGAGGCUUACAGCACAACAUCUUUGUUUCUACUGCUUUGGUUGAUAUGUAUGCUAAGUGUGGGAGCUUGGAUGAUGCAAAAAGAGUAUUUGAAAACAUGCCUGUAAAAAAUGAGGUUUCAUGGAAUGCAAUGAUCUCUGCUCUUGCUUUUCAUGGGCGAUCUCAGGAGGCUUUAUUGCUUUUUGAGCGCAUGUCAACAGAGGGUAUGGAUGCCUGCCCAAAUGAUGUUACAUUUGUAGGAGUACUUUCAGCAUGUGUGCAUGCUGGAUUGGUUGAUGUAGGCUGGCGGUAUUUUGACUUGAUGAGCUUGUCAUAUGGGUUAACACCAAAAAUUGAGCAUUACUCUUGCAUGGUUGAUCUUUUGGCACGUGCUGGUCAACUGUACGAAGCUUGGGACUUAAUUGAGAAGAUGCCUGAAAAACCAGAUGAAAUUGUACUGGGGGCACUACUUGGUGCCUGUCAGAAGUGCAAAAAUCUUGAUGUUAGUGAGAGGGUGAUGCAACUGCUGCUGCAAAUAGAGCCUUCGAAUUCUGGAAACUAUGUUAUCUCAUCAAAGAUAUAUGCAAAUUCAAGAAGGUGGGAUGACUCCGCAAAAAUGAGAGUGUUGAUGAGACAAAGGGGUGUCAAUAAGACUCCGGGUUGUAGCUGGAUCGACAUUGAAGGUCAACUUCAUGAAUUUCUUGCUGGGGAUGACUUGCUGUAUCAUCACAUUGAGAUUCAUCAAGUGUUUGAGUUGUUGAAUGUGGAGAUGAAGAGGGAAGGUUACAUUCCAAGGGUUGAUUAAUAAAUAGAGAUAUGAAAGCUCAGAAACAUGCUUUCCUCUUAAUCUUUUGAAUGCUGAAGAAACAUGCACGGAGUUUCUUUGUGGCAGGAUUCGUAAUAUGUUUUUUAUCAAUAAUUUGGACAUGAACUGUCAAAAAUUCUUCAAGUUACUUGCUUGUGCCGAGCAUGCUUCUGUAUAUGCAAACAUACCUAGGUAAAAUCUGACUUGUUUCUGGCUCCAAAAUAAUGUGCUUGGUUUGGUGUAAGAUACAAUCUCUAUAGCUGUAAUAGGCUAUGGAAACGGUUUUAUCAUUUAUCCUCUCUUGUUCAUUACAAGCAUAUCUAUUUGUCCAACAAACAGUUUUAGUUCUAGUGGACCAUUGCUUUUUGUGUUCAUACACCGUACUUGUUGACAAGGUAUGUCUAUAUGCAGUUAGGCGCUGCAUGACUUGCAUUUGCUGAUGGUAUUUUGUCUUUUCUUAAUAUUUUCUUUUACAUCACUUCUUGACAGGUUGGCUGUCAUGGUUAAUGCUAUCUCCUAAUGUGUUUCCAUUCAGAAAUUACCCGUUCUUUAAUAGCCAAGAUUGAUAAUUAUAUAAGAUGACAAAAAUGGAAGACAAAAAUUCACCCGGAAUGCGGCUUAUAUCACUUCAGACGUUGUUCUCAUGAUUUUUCUUCUUCAAGGAAUGGAUAAUUAUAUCCUGCCACUUGACAGGACAGACCACGUGGCAAUAACAAAUCCUCUAGUGAGCUGAUAAAUUCUCGCACUUCUCUAUUUAUUGAUCUCAGCAGCUGCAUCACUAUGACAACUUUAAAUGGGUAAUUUUUCAAUCCUUUUUUUUUUGUCACUUUUCUUACUCAGAUAUAAUUGCAAUAUACUUAUCAGGCUGCAGUUUGUAAAUUUAAUAUUACCAGUCUUGCUAGCUUCUAGCUUGUUAAGGUGAUUUUGAAAUGUCUUUGCGAAUUUAUGAUGUUGAUGAUUUAUGAAAGUGUAUUGUUGGAGUUGGAUACAUUAUAUUUUCUUCUAACCUGUGUUAGUGGGAUCAUUUUUUUCAUAUCUGAACUAAUCAAAUUGUUGCCUUGUUGGAAAUUUUGGCUAGGCUUUCAGGUUUGAGUCCUCGAGUCGGGGAAAAAAUAUUGAUGGUCACUAAUCCUACAUCAGUAGGACAAGGGAAUGGUUUUGGGCUAUAAAAUCAUGGGUCUUCCUUCACCUAAUAGGCAUGUCUUUUUGGGUCGGAAAUGUGGAUAGUUAACAAUAACAAGUAGUAUCAGUGGGCCCCAUGAGAGAUACCAAGGUAUGGGAAAAAAAUACUGAUGCCAUAUAUCACGAAUCUCACGUCAGUAAGACAAGGUGUGGUCUUGGGCUAUAAAAUCAUGGUUCUUUUUUCACUUUUUUCACCUAACAUUUAUGUCUUUUAGGUUGGAAAUGUGGACAUGUGAUUAGUGGUAUCCAAGCUGAUCUUCACUGAUGUGAGUCCUCAUGAGAGAUUUUCACCCAACAACUAUGUCUUUUGGGGUUGGAAAUGUGGAUGCGUGAUAAGUGGUAUCAAAGCAGAUCCAACUCUUCAUUGAUGUGAGUCCUCAUGAGAGAUAUCAAGGUUGAGAUAGGUUCGGACCAAGUGGGUCCCUCUCCUCUAAGGAGGUGUUGCACAAUUGGGUGAGAGAGAAUGUCAUAAAUCUCACAUUACCUAACAAGCAUGUCUUUUGGGGUUAAUGUGAACACAUAAUAAGUGGUAUCAGAACAGAUCUAACUCUUCACUGAUUUGAGUCCUCAUGAUAGAUAUCAAGGUUGAGAUAGGUUCAGAGCAAGUGGGUUCCUAUCCUUUAAUGGAGGUGGUGCACAAUUGAGAAAGGGAGAAUGUCACAAAUCCCACAUUAGUAAGACAAAGAGGUGGUCUUGGCUAUAAAAUUAUGGAUUUUCACGUUAAUCAUGUGUUUUGAGUUGGAAAUAUGGGCUCGUGACACACACAUACAUGCAUACUUUUCUUUCUAUGUGCAUUAAGAAUUCUAGAUACAUUAUGUAUUGCCUGUAUUUAUUGUACAAGCACUUAAUCCUAAUGGAUGGUGUU
Non-coding RNA from Durio zibethinus, 4021 nucleotides. The record is from RefSeq and is a predicted model, not a curated record. NCBI's taxonomy places the organism in Eukaryota, Viridiplantae, Streptophyta, Magnoliopsida, Malvales, Malvaceae.